GGAUGAAGAACGUAGCGAAAUGCGAUAAGUAAUGUGAAUUGCAGAAUUCAGUGAAUCAUCGAAUCUUUGAACGCACAUUGCGCCCCUUGGUAUUCCGAGGGGCAUGCCUGUUCGAGCGUCAUUAUAACCCUCAAGCUCAGCUUGGUGUUGGGGCCUGCUGCACUGGCAGCCCUUAAAAUCAGUGGCGGCGCCAUCUGGCUCUAAGCGUAGUAAUUCUUCUCGCUAUGGAGUCCUGGUGGAUGCUUGCCAUCAACCCCCAAUUUUUCUAUGGUUGACCUCGGAUCAGGUAGGGAUACCCGCUGAACUUAAGCAUAUCAAUAAGCGGAGGA
RNAcentral lists this unclassified non-coding RNA (329 nucleotides) under soil metagenome. Its description in RNAcentral is "partial contains 5.8S ribosomal RNA, internal transcribed spacer 2, and large subunit ribosomal RNA". The stretch from base 2 to 121 matches the Rfam family "5.8S ribosomal RNA", at positions 35 to 154 of the family's 154-position model. The record is from RNAcentral.